UACGUAGGGGGCUAGCGUUGUCCGGAUUUAUUGGGCGUAAAGAGCGUGUAGGCGGCCAAGUAGGUCCGGUGUGAAAACUCGAGGCUUAACCUCGAGAUGUCAUCGGAAACCAUUUGGCUAGAGUCCGGAAGAGGAAAGUGGAAUUCCUGGUGUAGCGGUGAAAUGCGUAGAUAUCGGGAGGAACACCAGAGGCGAAGGCGGGUUACUGGGCUGAUACUGACGCUGAUGCGCGAAAGCUAGGGGAGCAAACGGG
Molecule: ribosomal RNA, 253 nt
Filed under: uncultured bacterium
Lineage: Bacteria
Description: partial 16S ribosomal RNA
Rfam family: Bacterial small subunit ribosomal RNA
Source: RNAcentral